CUUGUUAAAUUGAAUAAUGCAUGUCGCUGUUGCAUAAUUUAUCAACCAUGGAAUGUUUUCCCAAAUAAAUGUUUAAUGUCUACAUAAAUCAGCUACUCUCUAUCACCCUGAAGAUGUGAUGUCACCUGUAACCUCUACGACAGCUUGGUCACCUUCAAUUAGACUGUUUGGUAACACAAAAGUUCAGAGAGCUGCUUCCAGAGGAGCCGGACUCAUCUGCUCCCACCAGAACUACCGGCACGGUUGCUCUCAUCUGAGAGAUAAAAUAGGUUCCUAAAAUAGGAUGACAAAAUGGCACCUUCGGUAUCCAUGGUUACCUGGUUGCAGGGAGAGCCAGGCGCCACAGUAGACAAGCCUCGACAUCGCAGCUUCUGAUUGGACGGCUGUAUCACCACAGUCGUGGCUCAGACAUCUGACUGACACCAAAGAUUUUGUUUUUUAAUUAUAUUUCAUAUUUUAAUCAUCUUGUUUGUUUACCUCCCUGUGAUGAGAGCCUUGCCGUCCAGGGGCUGGUCAUUUACUUUUACAUUUAUCAGACGCUCUUAUCCAGAGCGACUUACAGUAAGUACAGGGACAUUCUCCCCGAGGCAAGU
This is a long non-coding RNA of Hypomesus transpacificus, 593 nucleotides long. RefSeq lists it as uncharacterized. The transcript is spliced from 3 exons. The record is from RefSeq and is a predicted model, not a curated record. NCBI's taxonomy places the organism in Eukaryota, Metazoa, Chordata, Actinopteri, Osmeriformes, Osmeridae.